UGGUGUUGAUUGCGGCGAGGGCCCACCCGUUCCCAUCCCGAACACGGAAGUUAAGCUCGCCUGCGCCGAAGAUACUUGGCUGGAGACGGCCCGGGAAAAUAGGUAAUGCCAACACA
This 116-nucleotide ribosomal RNA is filed under the name uncultured Eubacteriales bacterium. Lineage: Bacteria; Bacillati; Bacillota; Clostridia; Eubacteriales. The record is from RNAcentral.